Molecule: ribosomal RNA, 206 nt
Filed under: uncultured bacterium
Lineage: Bacteria
Description: partial 16S ribosomal RNA
Rfam family: Bacterial small subunit ribosomal RNA
Source: RNAcentral
UGCGUAGGCGGGUCUUUAAGUCAGGGGUGAAAUCCUGGAGCUCAACUCCAGAACCGCCUUUGAUACUGAAGAUCUUGAGUUCGGGAGAGGUGAGUGGAACUGCGAGUGUAGAGGUGAAAUUCGUAGAUAUUCGCAAGAACACCAGUGGCGAAGGCGGCUCACUGGCCCGAUACUGACGCUGAGGCACGAAAGCGUGGGAGCAAACA